This is a long non-coding RNA of Daphnia magna, 1305 nucleotides long. RefSeq lists it as uncharacterized. The transcript is spliced from 2 exons. The record is from RefSeq and is a predicted model, not a curated record. Lineage: Eukaryota; Metazoa; Arthropoda; Branchiopoda; Diplostraca; Daphniidae.
UCUAAUGUCUUGGAGUUCUACUGUUUUUGGAGUUCUACCAUGGUCUAAGAUUUGGGAGGUCCCCGAACUGUCGUCUGCUAGGCCUGUUUUUGGCUGUUCGUCUGCUAUUUCUGCGGACAAAUUUUGGGGCACUCGCUAGGGGCGCUGACUGUCCGGAUCAGUCAUAACAUUUCCCUCCAAAACGUUGUUAACAACGAGAAAAGUAGUUGCUUGUCACAGUCUUCUUCUGGACUAAGCCACUCAAAGGUUACAGAAGAUGCCUAAUCGUUGUUUUGUGCCUAAUUGCAACUCGGGAUUCCCUGGGUCCACUACGACUGAAAAGGUGGCAUUUUUUUCAUCUCCAAGGGAUUCUAGCCUGCUUCAACGUUGGAAGCUGCGAGGGAAAAAAAUGUAGACAAAAAAGAAGAUUGCGACCUUCUCUAUGUCUUAUGACAACAUAUUUUUGUUGUUGUUUGUGAAACAAAAGGUAUUUUCCAUUUCUGGCUAAAGGCUAUGUUUAUAGAUGGCAGACACCUAGAAGCUAUUACCUUUUUGAAGACUUUUUAAGUCAGUAGACACAGCCCGGAGAUUUUAACUUUCUCCAACACUUUCUCCAAGACACCGCUGUCGGCGGAGAAUGUUUACUCUACGUGUUGUAGAAUACAGCAAAUAUUACCAUUCAUGCCUCAAGUCAACACCACGAAAGAAGCCAUUCAAUUAAUAAAUUGAUUCUUUGGAUGAUGCUUCAAAAGUGAUGAAUGGGGCCUGGGUGUAAUUGUAAACGUUUCAGUCCUUUUAUUAAUCAGUGGAACACGUUCCGUAGAUGAUUUCUUUUCUCUGGGGCAAUAAGAUAUAAUCUGUUUAACUUUUCCCUUCUAUGCGAACGAAAGAAAAAGAGAAAUGUUUCAGCAAGACGUGAAUGUUCCACGCUGCAUUACAGAGAUACAGUUACGAACAUCUGGUCAUCUUUGACGAUUUAUGAGUCGUUUCAUCCUGUUAUUACCUUGACCAAUGGAACUUUGAAUUAUUGCACCCCGCGCUUCGCUUCGCAGAUGUAAGACCCACAAUCUUGGGGUUUAAGUUGGCGAAUAGUGAGGUUCGCCGAGUGUGAAGCAACUGACGCAAUACAACGAGCAUCCUUCAAAGUUUAGAUAAAAUAGUUGUAAGUUAAUCUAAAACAAUUGGAAAAUCUCAUACUUCAUACCAUGUAAAAAAGGGAAAAACAUUCGCCACCCCUAACCUUAAGCUGCGCAAACUGUCUAAAAUGGUAAAUUAAUUUGUAUUAAUGUAUAUUAAUGUUUGAAAUACAAAGAGGAAUUGAUUCAA